UCCCCGUUACCGGGGCAGUCUAGCUAGAGAAAUUCAACUAACUAUAAGGGUUGCGCUCGUUGAUGGACUUAACCAAACAUCUCACGACACGAGCUGACGACGGCCAUGCAUCACCUGUCACUGCGGCCCGAAGGCACAUCCGCCUUUCGGCGGACUUGGCAGGAUGUCAAGCCUUGGUAAGGUUCUUCGCUUACCGUCGAAUUAAACAACACGCUCCACCGCUUGUGCGGGUCCCCGUCAAUUCCUUUAUGUUUUAAGCUUGCGCUCGUACUCCACAGGCGGGAUGCUUAACGCGUUAGCUUCGCUACUACCAGGGUCGAUACUGAUAACAGCUAGCAUCCAUAGUUUACGGCGUGGACUAC
This 362-nucleotide unclassified non-coding RNA is filed under the name uncultured bacterium. RNAcentral describes it as "contains 16S-23S intergenic spacer region". The record is from RNAcentral.